This 32-nucleotide non-coding RNA is filed under the name Homo sapiens (human). Lineage: Eukaryota; Metazoa; Chordata; Mammalia; Primates; Hominidae. The record is from RNAcentral.
UGCCUAACUUGGACCCUUCAUCCCAUAACCUC